This 335-nucleotide unclassified non-coding RNA is filed under the name soil metagenome. RNAcentral describes it as "partial contains 5.8S ribosomal RNA, internal transcribed spacer 2, and large subunit ribosomal RNA". The stretch from base 1 to 120 matches the Rfam family "5.8S ribosomal RNA", at positions 35 to 154 of the family's 154-position model. The record is from RNAcentral.
GAUGAAGAACGUAGCGUAAUGCGAUAAGUAAUGUGAAUUGCAGAAUUCAGUGAAUCAUCGAAUCUUUGAACGCACAUUGCGCCCGCCAGUAUUCUGGCGGGCAUGCCUGUUCGAGCGUCAUUUCAACCAUCAAGCCCCCGGCUUGUGUUGGGGACCUGCGGCUGCCGCAGGCCCUGAAAACCAGUGGCGGGCUCGCUAGUCACUCCGAGCGUAGUAAUACAUCUCGCUCAGGGCGUGCUGCGGGUUCCGGCCGUUAAAAAGCCUUAUUUACCCAAGGUUGACCUCGGAUCAGGUAGGAAGACCCGCUGAACUUAAGCAUAUCAAUAAGCGGAGGA